AUUGAACGCUGGCGGCAUGCUUUACACAUGCAAGUCGAACGGUAACAGGCCUUCGGGUGCUGACGAGUGGCGCACGGGUGAGUAAUGCAUCGGAACGUGCCCAGAGGUGGGGGAUAACGCAGCGAAAGCUGUGCUAAUACCGCAUGUGAUCUGAGGAUGAAGGCGGGGGACCCAGCAGCAAUGUUUGGCCUCGCGCCUCUGGAGCGGCCGAUGUCAGAUUAGGUAGUUGGUGGGGUAAAGGCCUACCAAGCCGACGAUCUGUAGCUGGUCUGAGAGGACGACCAGCCACACUGGGACUGAGACACGGCCCAGACUCCUACGGGAGGCAGCAGUGGGGAAUUUUGGACAAUGGGCGCAAGCCUGAUCCAGCAAUGCCGCGUGCGGGAAGAAGGCCUUCGGGUUGUAAACCGCUUUUGUACGGAACGAAAAGGCUCUGGCUAAUACCUGGGGCUGAUGACGGUACCGUAAGAAUAAGCACCGGCUAACUACGUG
This 492-nucleotide ribosomal RNA is filed under the name uncultured bacterium. Its description in RNAcentral is "partial 16S ribosomal RNA". It matches the Rfam family "Bacterial small subunit ribosomal RNA", at positions 30 to 507 of the family's 1533-position model. The record is from RNAcentral.